AGCUUUAUGCAGUGGCAGUAUUCUAGCCAGUGAGGUUUAUCUGAGGCACAAUUAUUGCUAAAUUGAAAAUAAGGUAUCGAUUAUGAGGUCAUUUUCCUUAUUUUGGUAUAAAGUUUAAUAAUAAAGUUAUCUUC
Psammomys obesus (fat sand rat) is the source of this 134-nucleotide small nuclear RNA. RefSeq annotates it as U4 spliceosomal RNA. The transcript has a single exon. The record is from RefSeq and is a predicted model, not a curated record. Lineage: Eukaryota; Metazoa; Chordata; Mammalia; Rodentia; Muridae.